RNAcentral lists this ribosomal RNA (650 nucleotides) under uncultured Bacteroidota bacterium. Its description in RNAcentral is "uncultured Bacteroidetes bacterium partial 16S ribosomal RNA". It matches the Rfam family "Bacterial small subunit ribosomal RNA", at positions 52 to 694 of the family's 1533-position model. The record is from RNAcentral. Lineage: Bacteria; Pseudomonadati; Bacteroidota.
CACAUGCAAGUCGAGGGGCAGCAUWUUUMUAGCAAUAKAARWGAUGGCGACCGGCGCACGGGUGAGUAACACGUAUCCAACCUMCCKWUWACUCKGGAAUAGCCUUUCGAAAGAAAGAUUAAUACCGGAURGYAUACGAAUAUCGCAUGAUAUUUUUAUUAAAGAAUUUCGGUUAUCGAUGGGGAUGCGUUCCAUUAGUUUGUUGGCGGGGUAACGGCCCACCAAGACUACGAUGGAUAGGGGUUCUGAGAGGAAGGUCCCCCACAUUGGAACUGAGACACGGUCCAAACUCCUACGGGAGGCAGCAGUGAGGAAUAUUGGUCAAUGGGCGMRRGCCUGAACCAGCCAAGUAGCGUGAAGGAUGAAGGCUCUAUGGGUCGUAAACUUCUUUUAUAUGGGAAUAAAGUUUUCCACGUGUGGAAUUUUGUAUGUACCAUAUGAAUAAGGAUCGGCUAACUCCGUGCCAGCAGCCGCGGUAAUACGGAGGAUCCGAGCGUUAUCCGGAUUUAUUGGGUUUAAAGGGAGCGUAGGUGGAUUGUUAAGUCAGUUGUGAAAGUUUGCGGCUCAACCGUAAAAUUGCAGUUGAAACUGGSAGUCUUGAGUACAGUAGAGGUGGGCGGAAUUCGUGGUGUAGCGGUGAAAUGCUUAGA